UUAGCAACACUGGUGGCUGUUAACUGAACUACAGCAAAUAUUGCUCGUGCUCGCACACAUGCACACGUAAACUGAACGUAAUUAAAGGCCCCAAUAUACUCAUGACGAAGUUCUUUUUCGUUUUCUCCUAAGAAGUAAAAAUAAGUUUGGACAUACCUUUGCAGAGAUAUACUGUUAAUGAACAUCCAGACGCCGUCUCCUGAGAGUGACUGUUAGAUAAAUGUGCUGCGCGCGCCGCUUUCUUCUCAAUAAAAAAAUAAAUAACAAAAAUGGCAGCGGUAAGCAUCUGAUCUGUUUUCACCGGCAUCAUGUCAACGGAUGAGGCCAUCAGAAUGAUUCAUGGAGUGGAUAUUGGAGUAAAGCUGUUGGCUUGUGGCUUGGGAACUGUAAGAACUGGAUUAGACUGUUUUCGGCCUGUGAAAGUAGAAAAAGAAAAUACCAACAAGCCAACAAUCCAAGGUCCAUAGUGGUCUUGUGUGUGUGUUAUCAGUGGAGUGCCAGUGAGGUGGGGGAUACAGUGGCAUUAUACAGUGGUACUGUGGCAUGAUGAAUAAUGCCAGGCUUAGAAGAUGCGCCCAAGCCAAGAUUUGAAAAGCUUUGAAAGCUUUACCAGUACAAGAGGAGGAGGAAAAUAUCUGCCUGAUUGUUCUUAAGAAAAACAUUUCUAUAUGAACAAUUCUGUUUGUUUUUAAUUAUAUUCAUUUUAUUGCAUUCUUCUUUUUUAUUGCUGGAUCUUGUGAACAUCUGAGACAUUUUAAAACGGAAGAGAAAGAGGAAAAAAGUAGUAAUAUGCACUUACCUAUAAAAAUGCUCCUUUGGUGCAGGGUUUAAGUAAAGGCCAGUAUUUACUAUACAGUAUCUGAGGUGAUUUUGUCAAGUGCAUGGUUUCCUACAGAAAUUGCUGUCACUCUUUACCUCUAACAUCUGCUUCCAUUAAAAGCCACUCAGAAUGGUAAUUUGGUGACCUGCUGAGCCCCGAAGCCAUCUCUACUGAAGCACACCUGUGCUUUUCUAAGAGUAUAAUGGGAUCAGGACUAUUAGCUGGCAAUUAGAGAUUGUUUAAACCUGAAGUAUUACCAGAUCACAUUACAGGCACCGGCCAACAUUUAGACAAGUUCACAAGUGCAAGUCACCCAGACAGAAAUGGAAGCCUCUUUAAUGCUUAUAUGUUUUUGGCUUAAAUGUACACAUUUGCCCUUGUGCUGAGAUUUUAGUAUACAGGCUGCUUCGAUAUAAAUGCUAUGGAAAAUUUGUUUGUGGAGCAAUAAUUAACACCUGGCAUCAAAAAUUGGUCACUGCCUUAAAAGUAUAUUUUUAUGGCUUUUUAAUUAUUAUUUUUUGGUUCAUAGAUGAACACUUAAAAUAAAUAAUGUCACCUGCAUUUAUAUAAAUAUUUGAGUUAUUCCCACAGCUAUGACUCUCUUCAUUUGCAAGAUCUAGUUACUGACAACAUACAUCAUUUCACAUUAGUAGAUGACAUAACUCAUACUUGAAGCAGCCGGGUAGGAGUCGCUUAACUAAACAUUUAUAUUAAAGAGACAUUGUGCACCGUGUGAAUUUGAUAACUUUUGAUUGACCCUUGUGGAUUAUUAAAUCUUAAGAACACACAGUGACCACGAUCUGUGUAGAACUGGUAAACAUGUCCAAGAGCUUACUUAAUGUUUCACUUGUGGACCAAUUUGGCCUGCCCAACACCCUGCAGCUGUUAACAUACCGUGAAAUGCUCAGACUGAGCCAAAAGACAGGAAGUGGCUUGUAUUUAGCCAUCGACUUGAUAACUACCUUCUUUUUUCUUUUUUAUGAGAAACGAAAGAAAGAAAGAAAAACAGUUCAGAAAAACAUUCAAUUACACACAGCCAAACUGAAAUUACUGAUGUGCAUUUAAAUUACAUUCAUAACAUGUUAUUGUACACUCAAUCUGUCAGUAGGCAAUAAAUCAACAUUUUGAAAAGUGUUUUUGUUUGUUUUAAAAACCACGUGUUAAAGCAUGUCGCUCUAGCCACUGAAAUACUGUUAAUGUCAACAUGCCGCCCUCUAGUGUUCAAGAGACACUUUACUGUGAAUGGAGACAUUUCUAGCACAAAUAAAAUAAAUCUAAGACUACA
Megalobrama amblycephala (Wuchang bream) is the source of this 2105-nucleotide long non-coding RNA. RefSeq lists it as uncharacterized. Lineage: Eukaryota; Metazoa; Chordata; Actinopteri; Cypriniformes; Xenocyprididae. The transcript has 2 exons. The record is from RefSeq and is a predicted model, not a curated record.